Molecule: ribosomal RNA, 301 nt
Filed under: uncultured bacterium
Lineage: Bacteria
Description: partial 16S ribosomal RNA
Rfam family: Bacterial small subunit ribosomal RNA
Source: RNAcentral
CAGUCGCCGCGGGAAAACGUAGGUGGCAAGCGUUGUCCGGAUUUAUUGGGCGUAAAGCGAGCGCAGGCGGUCAAUUAAGUCUGAUGUGAAAGCCCCCGGCUCAACCGGGGAGGGUCAUUGGAAACUGGUUGACUUGAGUGCAGAAGAGGAGAGUGGAAUUCCAUGUGUAGCGGUGAAAUGCGUAGAUAUAUGGAGGAACACCAGUGGCGAAGGCGACUCUCUGGUCUGUAACUGACGCUGAGGCUCGAAAGCGUGGGUAGCAAACAGGAUUAGAUACCCCCGUAGUCCCUGUCUCUUAUAC